This 1453-nucleotide long non-coding RNA is filed under the name Sarcophilus harrisii (Tasmanian devil). RNAcentral's name for it is "lncRNA (ENSSHAG00000028279.1)". The record is from RNAcentral. Lineage: Eukaryota; Metazoa; Chordata; Mammalia; Dasyuromorphia; Dasyuridae.
AGAGAAUCCAAUGAUUCCUGAGGGGUUUCAAUAAUUACAAAAAUUUUAUCAAAUCUCAUAGAAUCCAAUGAUUCCUGAGGAGUUUAAUGUAUUACAACAAUCUUAUCAUAUCUCAGAGAAUCCAAUGAUUCCUGAGGGGUUUCAAUUAUUACAACAAUCUUAUCAUAUCUCAGAGAAUCCAAUGAUUCCUGAGGAGUUUCAAUUAUUACAAAAAUCUUAUCAUAUCUCAGAGAAUCCAAUGAUUCCUGAGGAGUUCAACAUAUUACAACAAUCUUAUCAUGUCUGAGAGAAUCCAAUGAUUCCUGAAGAGUUUAAGGUAUUAUAACAAUCUUAUCAUAUCUCAGAGAAUCCAAUGAUUCCUGAGGGGUUUCAAUUAUUACAACAAUCUUAUUAUAUCUCAGAGAAUCCAAUGAUUCUUGAGGAGUUUAGAGUAUUACAGCAAUCUCAUUAUGUCUCAGAGAAUCCAAAGAUUCCUGAGGAGGUUAAUUAUUACAACAAUCUUAUCAUAUCUCAGAGAAUCCAAUGAUUCCUGAGGAGUUUAACGUAUUAUAACAAUCUUAUCAUAUCUCAGAGAAUCCAAUGAUUCCUGAGGAGUGUAACGUAUUACAACAAUCUCAUUAUGUCUCAGAUAAUCCAAUGAUUCCUGAGGAGUUUAACAUAUUACAACAAUAUUAUCAUAUCUCAGAGAAUCCAAUGAUUCCUGAGGGUUUAAAUUUUAACAACAAUCUUAUUAUAUCUCAGAGAAUCCAAUGAUUCUUGAGGAGUUUAGAGUAUUACAGCAAUCUCAUUAUGUCUCAGAGAAUCCAAUGAUUCCUGAGGGGUUUCAAUUAUUACAACAACCUUAUCAUAUCUCAGAGAAUCCAAUGAUUCCUGAGGAGUUUAACAUAUUACAACAAUCUUAUGAUAUCUUAGAGAAUCCAAUGAUUCCUGAGGAGUUUCAAUUAUUACAACAAUCUUAUUAUAUCUCAGAGAAUACAAUGAUUCCUGAGGAGUUUAGAGUAUUGUAACAAUCUCAUUAUGUGUCAGAGAAUCCAAUGAUUGCUGAGGAGUUUAACGUAUUAUAACAAUCUUAUCAUAUCUCAGAGAAUCCAAUGAUUCCUGAAGAGUUUCAAUUAUUACAAAAAUCUUAUCAUAUCUCAGAGAAUACAAUGAUUCCUGAGGAGUUUAACAUAUUACAACAAUCUUAUCAUAUCUCAGAGAAUCCAAUGAUUCCUGGGGGUUUCAAUUAUUACAAAAAUCUUAUCAUAUCUCAGAGAAUCCAAUGAUUCCUACGGAGUUUAACAUGUUACAACAAUCUUAUCAUGUCUGAGAGAAUCCAAUGAUUCCUGAGGAGUUUAACGUAUUACAACAAUCUUAUCAUGUCUCAGAAAAUCCAAUGAUUCCUGAGGAGUUUAAAGUAUUGCAACAAUCAUAUCGUAUCUCAGAGAAUCCAAUGAUUCCUGAGGAGUUUAAU